CCACCCUUCACUUCUUACUCUGCUGUGAUUGGUGCAGCCAUCGGGGGCAUGAUCAUAGCAGUAGUAGCCACAGUGCUGCUCUUCAUGUACUUCGUGAGGCAUUGUAACAACAGCCCACGACUGCAUGAGUUGAUAUUCGGCAGUAGGAACAGCCUGUCCAGGGAGAACAUAAACUUCCCUGAGGAUGAGGUCACUGGUGGGGCAGAAGAUGUGGACAGAAGAGAACACAGCCCAGGACCAAUAGUGGCAACCACAAGACCGACACUACAAGGCCCUCCGACCGCAUCAUAACAGUUAUGGCUACAAGUUCCAGAUCUGUCAAAUUGUGUGUUUAACGGUUUUAAUCUAAUGAAGAGCCAACUCAUUUCACAAUUUAUAAAUUAAAAUAAUUAGAUCAACAGUUAUUGGUUUGACUAA
This is a long non-coding RNA of Clupea harengus (Atlantic herring), 417 nucleotides long. NCBI's taxonomy places the organism in Eukaryota, Metazoa, Chordata, Actinopteri, Clupeiformes, Clupeidae. The record is from Ensembl.